UCACAAUCACAUCAACUCCUGCUGAAACACCCACAACUAGUGCAACAGAAACAUCUACUACAACAGAGAAUUCCACAAUAAAGACUCCUUCUGAAACAUCCAGAACUAGUGCAGCAGAAACAUCUACAACAACAGAGACUUCCACAACAAUGACAAUUGCUGAAACAUUAACCACUAGUGCAUCAGAAACAUCUACAACAACAGAGACUUCCACAAUCACUACUUCUGCUGAAAUAUCUACUAUCAGUGAAACAGAAAUAUCUACAACAAAAGAGUCUUCAACAAUAACGAUUCCUGCUGAAAAACCCACCCCUAGUGUAGCAGAAACAUCUAUAACAACAGAGACUGCUACAUUCACAUCUUCUCCUGCUGAAACACCCAACACUAGUGUAGCAGAAAUAUUUUCAACAACAGAGACUUCCACAAUCACAACAAUUCCUGCUGAAACCUCUACUAUCAGUGUAGCAGAAACAUCUACAACAACAGAGACUUCAACACUCACAACAACUGCAGCUGAAAUAUCCACUUUUAGUGUUGCAGAAACAUCUACAACAACAGAGAGUUUCACAAUCACUAUUCCUGCUGAAACAUCCACCUCUAAUGCAGCAGAAACAUUUACAACAACAGAGACUUCUACAAUAACUACUCCUGCUGAAACAUCCACCAGUAGUGCAGCAGAAACAUCUACUACAACAGAGACUUCCACAACAACGACUCCUGCUGAAACAUCCACUACUAGUGCAGCAGAAAAAUCUACUACAACAGAGACUUCCAUAAUCACUACUCCUGCUGAAAUAUCUACUAUCAGUGAAGCAGAAAUAUCUACAACAAAAGAGACUUCCACAAUCACGACAAUUCCUUCUGAAACAUCCACCACUAGUGCAGCAGAAACAUCUUUAACCACAGAGACUUCCACAAGCACAACAACUCCAGCUGUAAUAUCCACUAUCCGUGUAGCAGAAACAUCUACAACAACAGAGACUUCAACUAUCAAAUCAACUACACCUGAAAUAUCCACCCCUAGUGAAGCAGAAAUAUCUACUACAAAAGAGACAUCCACAAUCAUGACUCCUGCUGAAACAUCCUCCGUUAGUGUAGCAGAAACAUCUUCUACAACAGGGAAUUCCACAAUAAAGACUCCUGCUGAAACAUCCAGAACUAGUACAGCAGAAACAUCUGCAACCACAGAGACUUCCACAAUAACGACUCCCACUGAAACAUCCACCACUAGUAAAGCAGAAACAUCUACAUCAACAGAGACUUCCACAAUCACAACAACGGUGGCUGAAACAUCGACUAUAAGUGUAGCAGAAAAAUCUUCGACAACAGAGGCUUCCACAAUCACAACAAUUCCCACUGAAACAUCCAUCACUAGGGCAACAGAAACAUCUUCAACAUCAGAGACUUCCACAAUCACAACAAUUCCUGCUGAAACAUCCACUAUUAGUGCAGCAGAAACAUCUACAACAACAGACACAUCCACAAUCACAGCAACUCCUGCUAAAACAUCCCCCGCUAGUGCAACAGAAACAUCAUCAAUAACAAAGACUUCCACAAUCACUACUUCUGCUGAAAUAUCUACUAUCAGUGAAACAGAAAUAUCUACAACAAAAGAGUCUUCAACAAUAACGAUUCCUGCUGAAAAACCCACCCCUAGUGUAGCAGAAACAUCUAUAACAACAGAGACUGCUACAUUCACAUCUUCUCCUGCUGAAACACCCACCACUAGUGUAGCAGAAAUAUUUUCAACAACAGAGACUUCCACAAUCACAACAAUUCCUGCUGAAACCUCUACUAUCAGUGUAGCAGAAACAUCUACAACAAUGGAGACUUCCACAAUCACGACUCCUGCUGAAACAUCCACUAUUAGUGUAGUAGAAAUAUCUUCAACAACAGAGACUUCAACACUCACAACAACUGCAGCUGAAAUAUCCACUUUUAGUGUUGCAGAAACAUCUACAACAACAGAGAGUUUCACAAUCACUAUUCCUGCUGAAACAUCCACCUCUAAUGCAGCAGAAACAUCUUUAACAACAGAGACUUCCACAAUCCCAACAAUACCUGCUGAAACACCCACCACCAUUGCAAAAGAAACAUCUACUACACAGAUAUCCACCAUCACAACAAUUCCUGCUGAAACAUCCACCACUAGUGCAGCAGAAACAUCUACAACAACAGAGACUUCCAUAAUCACUACUCCUGCUGAAAUAUCUACUACUAGUGCUGCAGAAACAUUUACAACAACAGAGACUUCCACAAUCACAACAAUUCCUUCUGAAACAUCCACUAUCCGUGUAGCAGAAACAUCUACAACAACAGAGACUUCAACUAUCAAAUCAACUACACCUGAAAUAUCCACCCCUAGUGAAGCAGAAAUAUCUACUACAAAAGAGACAUCCACAAUCAUGACUCCUGCUGAAACAUCCUCCGUUAGUGUAGCAGAAACAUCUUCUACAACAGGGAAUUCCACAAUAAAGACUCCUGCUGAAACAUCCAGAACUAGUACAGCAGAAACAUCUGCAACCACAGAGACUUCCACAAUAACGACUCCUGCUGAAACAUCCACCACUAGUGUAGCAGAAAUAUCUUCAACAACAGAGACUUCCACAAUCACAACAAUUCCCACUGAAACAUCCAUCACUAGGGCAACAGAAACAUCUUCAACAUCAGAGACUUCCACAAUCACAACAAUUCCUGCUGAAACAUCCACCGCUAGUGCAACAGAAACAUCAUCAAUAACAAAGACUUCCACAAUCACAACAAUUUCAUCUGAAACAUCCAAUAUUAGUGUAGCAGGAAUAUCUUCAACAACAGAGACUUCCACAAUCAUAACAAGUCCAGUUGAAACAUCCACUUUUAUUUUAGCAGAAACAUCUACAACAACAGAGACAUCCACACUCACAGCCACUCCUGCUAAAACAUCCACCACUAGUGCAGCAGAAACAUCUACAACAACAGAGACUUCCACAAUCACAACUGCUUCUGAAACAUCCACUACUAGUGUAGCAGAAACAUCUACAACAAUGGAGCCUGUAUAUGAAGUGAAAAUAAAGCUGGAGUUCCGCUCUAAAGAUUCAUUCACUGAUGACCUCAAUGAUCGACAGUCUCCUGCUUUCAAAAUUAGGGCUACGCUCGUUCAAGAUAUUCUAACACUUCUUUUCAAGAAGUUUGAUUCCUUCCUUAGAGUCACUGUACUACUAUUCAGAAAGGGAUCGGUCAUUACCACAUCAGAACUCGCUUUCAACUCUACACAGAAUGUCCCAUCAGAACUCCAAAUUGCAGAAAAAUUACUGAGUGACAAUAAAACUCUCUAUGACCUGAACAUAACUUCUUUCUCAGUUAAUAAUACAG
Cyprinus carpio carpio is the source of this 3351-nucleotide long non-coding RNA. NCBI's taxonomy places the organism in Eukaryota, Metazoa, Chordata, Actinopteri, Cypriniformes, Cyprinidae. The record is from Ensembl.